This 804-nucleotide non-coding RNA is filed under the name Cryptosporidium parvum. The record is from RNAcentral. Lineage: Eukaryota; Apicomplexa; Conoidasida; Eucoccidiorida; Cryptosporidiidae.
CACGAAUUAUUUGUAAAUAGUUCUAAUAAACCAUACUCGCACCUUCCGAAUUACGAGGCUUACUCAGCUUUUCCCAAUUUUUAGUUAAAAGGUCGUGUAGCCAUGCAUAGUUGUUUCUCAUAUCAGCUAUCGAGCAACGCAAUGAGACCCAAUAUCUCUCAUCUAAUUCUCUGACUGCUUCCACAUAAUCCUCAACGUUGGGAUAUUUGAUUAUUUUCGAUGAGAGCCUCGCCCUUUCAGAAUAGUACUUACAUACGCUUUCGUACAAUGAAAAUGUUGCAUCUUCAACUCUACCAAGCUCCUGGAUAGUCUCUUCUUGUAUUCCUACUCCGAAAUUAUUUCCGUCUUGAAUUUGGGGAAUAUUUAGUUGUACCCAUAAUUUUAUAGAACUAACCAUUUCAAUUAACUCACUAACUUCCUGUUUAACAUAGGCGACUAGUUCUUUAAUCUGCAGAUUCGAAUAAACUUUGCCAUUACCGUUAUUAACAGGCUUUAACUCCUCAGAAGAUAAAACUGAUCCUGGUUUAUCAGAAAUUUUCAUUCGAUUGUUUAGUUGAACUAUUUUGGAUGGAAUCCGUUCUCUUAAAUGUAUCGUAACCUGCUCAGACAAGUCCUUCCGGAAUUCCAUGCACCCCUUUUUAACUUCUGAAUCAAUUAUCUCAAUACUUGAGAGAGAUAUGGAUGAGUAUUCACUCCAAAGGGUAGAUUCUCUUGGUCGUUUAUUCAUUGAAAAAAAAAAUAUUGUAUUUGACUAAAAAUGAGAUGUGUAGAAUGAUUAGGCGCCUAAUUAAUGGCAAUAAAAAC